This is a long non-coding RNA of Vigna unguiculata (cowpea), 787 nucleotides long. The record is from RefSeq and is a predicted model, not a curated record. NCBI's taxonomy places the organism in Eukaryota, Viridiplantae, Streptophyta, Magnoliopsida, Fabales, Fabaceae.
UAACCUCCGUAGAUUUCUGCACCUUUAAUUUCCCUAAUUUUUUAACCUUUCCCUCAGUUUUACAUUCUCGCUCUACUAAGGUUUUCCCACACAUUUCCAAAUCCACAUUCUCGUUUUCACUCCAAUUUUUCGCUAAAUGUUCUUUUGAUCAACAAUGAGCACCACGAGCUAUGUUAGGUAGGAUGGAUCUAAAUCCAGCAGUGACUGCACCUGAAUCCAUGGAGAUGAUGAGGCUGCACCAUAAUCAAGAGGCAGAGGUCAUUGUUUGGGGACGAAGAACCCUAAGACAGUGAUCGCAGUGAUGCAAACAGGGACAAAAUUGAGGAAGCUUUAAGGCUGGCAGAGCUAUCAGCCGAGAAGCCUCAUUUUUCACAUUGUCUAGAGUGGUUCUUUUUACAGUAUUUGAAGCAGAUAUAUCCAGUGACAUCGUCCACAUGGUUAGCUAUGCACCUCUCUUCGUAAACGCCAACGACAAAAGGUGGACACCGGAUGUAGUUGUAUUUGACUCUCACCAACGUUAUGGAACUCUCAGCUAUUGGAUUCAACAUCUUUUUAGCACUUCAAGUGGAUCCACUUUGCUUUAUUCAACUGUUGAAAUUGUGGCAUCAACAAUUGAGUAUAGAAAUCCUGUAGACAAGAACAAGUACUUGAGAAUAAAGGUUUUAAACUUUGACAAUGAUCCUCACGACUUUAGGUUUUCUAUUAGUUUUAUAUUUAGAACAAUAUCUAUACUUUUUUCAACAUUAUGUAUUUUCUUUUUUAAUAUUUACAUGGUAAUUGUUAACAC